GGUGGAUAUCAUAAGUGAAAAAGGGGAGUAACAUAAGAUAAUAAAAUGUGGGCAUGUUGAGUAAAUAUAUUUGUAGGCCUUCGUUACAAUAGAUAGACUAUGGCACGAUACGUUUCGAAUAGUUGUUUUCCCGUUUUACUAAAAUUUUCGGUAGCCAUUAUAAUUUUUCCGUAACUAAGUUGAUCUCAAACACAUUUUUACCUUUUGUCAGUCAAUUAUAAGACGUGGGUUAUUUAGAUCCAUGUUCGGAGAUAGACCUCUAUCUCACUAUGUCUUUCAUCCACUUCUGGAAAAGCAACGGCUGACUUCGUCGUCAUUUGGGACAGGCGCCGCUUAAGGACGGAAGGAUUGUCGACUCAAGAGAGAUUUAAAAAAGAAAAAGAGAAAUUCAGAACUGAAAUUUUUCAGUCCCGAAGUCUUAAUUUCUGGAAUUGGUUGAGCUACUUUAACGUGGUUUUCGAAAUACAAUAACCGUCAUUCACUUUGAACACUUGGCCGUUUUACGAUAAGUGCCCGUGUUAAACGCACACGACUCAGACCCGCUUAUUCUGGUCUACCAUAUAAGCUAUUUCUUAUACAUUUAUAUCGCUUAAUAGCUAAGAAAAUUUUCUACUUAGCGAUGAGAUUGAAAAAAAUUUCUGAUUGCUGGUUUUUCCGUCAAAGUAAAAUCCAGCUUCCUUUAAACACGGUGUUUCUUACAUGUUAGCUUAUGGAGAAAGGGUGUUUUUGAUUCUUUAAUUGUAUACAAACGGCUUGAACCAUUUGCAAGCCGUUUGUUGACAUUGAUGUGGAUUUCAUUUCUCUGUAGAUGCUAGAAGUCCCCUGGUACUAACUUCUGAUAUGAAUUCCCCGAAUUAAUUUUUUGCCGACACGUGGUUAAUUUUAAGCGAAUUGGCGUGGUGUCCUCCCUCUGGCAUACUCCCAGUACCACCCUCUGAACCUUUGUUCAGUGCGCGCUUGUAAGUACAAGGUAGACGUUGUUACGAUCUAAAGCUUUUUUAUAGCUAAUCCCAUAAGAGCCCAUGUGAAAGUAGUCUACAUAGCUACACACCAGGCCAGCGUUGUCAAUAGCAGACCAUUCCAGCGUUCGUCCUAUUUGCGCCCUCUCAUGUAUGCAUACCAUUAAACUCCUAUACCAUGGUAUUUUUCAUGGUUUUGUAAUUUGGCGCCACGCAACCGACAUUUUUUCAAGAUUGCGCCGGGUCUAUCGGUUUCACCGGGUAUUUUGAACCGAAACGAACCGAUUGAAAACUACCUAACCGGGGCGAAACCGAUCAGCCAUUUUUUCGGGUAGGUUGGUGCGUUUUUGGGGGCCGAGCCCUAGUCCGAACUAUUGGUGGCACUGGCAACCUAGUUAUGGUUUUAGUACCUAGUUUUGACAGGUAGAACUUGCCGCGGCUUUUCUCUAUGUGCUUUGUGUAAUCUCCCAGUUAUUGCCACUUUAAUUUUAAAAGUAUGGUCCAUUUUGGUCAACCGUAACAAAAGCGGCUGUAAUGGAAAUCAGCCGCACCGAUUCAUAUUUGUCCAAACUAGUACCUAGUUAUCCCACCAAUAGUCCGCUCCAAACAUUCCACGGGAUAAGCUUUGGAGAUUUAAGUUGGGUGAACCGUGGGAAAAAGUGUUUGGCUCCACCUAUUUCCACGGUGAUUUCCACGCCAAACCGCUCCACGCUCCAACUACAAGAUAUACACCGUCUCUGCAACUUCCGAUUUUAGACGGGAUAGCGACAUUUGGGCUAGUUGCCUAAAGGACUUCAGGUUUUCGGACACUUGGACUUUUGUCCCUCGACACUUGGACGAGUGGUUCGCGACAUAAGGACAUCUGUCUAGCGACAUUUGGACUAUUGGUUCCCGACGUUUAAGCGCGUCAAUGAAAUGUUGCUGAAUCCAGCAAGUCCUAUACUUUGCAACAAGUGAACUCUGUGGCAGCGACCUUUGGACUCUACAACAACUAGAUUUUAGAUAUUCUUUCAACAUGGCCUUUAACGAAAACUAAACUGUAAUUUAUGAAUUAGUCAAGAAUUUUGUGAAAUCAAAAGAAUGUUUUGCCCACUUGAGGACCUACGUAAAACAGGACAGUUUGGUAAUGCAAUCUGCAAUUGGACACGAUUGGGGUCUAGCAAAACCUUAGUAGUAUGGCUGACUGGCUGUGGACCUGUGGGGCUGUGGCAAGAGUUACUAUAAAUCUGACUGAAACAAACAUGGUUACCCAUGUAUGUUCCAUUUCAGAAUACAAGGGAAAGAAGUCUGACGAACAUGCGUAACCAUGUAUGUUCCAAUUUAGAAUACAAUUUUCACAUAAUGAAUCCUUCAGCUGAAAUAAAUCUGAAAAUCCAUGCGUCACUGGAUUGGGAGUUCCUUUGUCGCUGAAUCACGAGUCCCUAUGUCGUAGAGAACACUCCAAAAGAAAGAAAACAAAAACAAAAACAAAAAGGAUACCCGGGAGUCCCAACACAAACUCCAUCCGAGAACAGACUAUGGUCCGAUCUCCACCAGUCAAAAGAUCAGAUGAUCUAGCGGCAGAGAUCAGAUCUAUGUCAAAUCUAGGCUUGUACAGUUUUCUAUCAGGCAGCAAUUUUUAACGGACAUAGGUUCGUCCAAGGAUAUUUGUGUAUUAUUUAUUUUCAUUUUCAUAAUUGGCGAAAAGAAAAAAAAAGAAUGACAAAUGUGAAAUUGUUAAAAAUAUAUCCAGUUUUGUAUUCCUUGAUCGUAAAUAUACGUAGUUUUAAAUACAAAAUGAGAAAAAUAA
Daphnia magna is the source of this 2748-nucleotide long non-coding RNA. RefSeq lists it as uncharacterized. The transcript has 4 exons. NCBI's taxonomy places the organism in Eukaryota, Metazoa, Arthropoda, Branchiopoda, Diplostraca, Daphniidae. The record is from RefSeq and is a predicted model, not a curated record.